This 256-nucleotide ribosomal RNA is filed under the name uncultured bacterium. RNAcentral's name for it is "partial 16S ribosomal RNA". It matches the Rfam family "Bacterial small subunit ribosomal RNA", at positions 524 to 776 of the family's 1533-position model. The record is from RNAcentral.
CACGUAGGGGGGCGAGCGUUGUCCGGAUUUAUUGGGCGUAAAGAGCUCGUAGGCGGUUCGAUAAGUCGGGUGUGAAAACUCUGGGCUCAACUCAGAGACGCCACCCGAUACUGUUGUGACUUGAGUCCGGUAGGGGAGUAUGGAAUUCCCGGUGUAGCGGUGAAAUGCGCAGAUAUCGGGAGGAACACCAGUGGCGAAGGCGGUACUCUGGGCCGGGAACUGACGCUGAGGAGCGAAAGCGUGGGUAGCGAACAGG